RNAcentral lists this ribosomal RNA (563 nucleotides) under Gymnopilus penetrans. Its description in RNAcentral is "eukaryotic LSU rRNA". The stretch from base 59 to 212 matches the Rfam family "5.8S ribosomal RNA". The record is from RNAcentral. Lineage: Eukaryota; Fungi; Basidiomycota; Agaricomycetes; Agaricales; Galerinaceae.
UAUACUCCAGAAUGUAAUAGAAUGUAUCAAUGGGCCUUGUGCCUAUAAAACUAUAUACAACUUUCAGCAACGGAUCUCUUGGCUCUCGCAUCGAUGAAGAACGCAGCGAAAUGCGAUAAGUAAUGUGAAUUGCAGAAUUCAGUGAAUCAUCGAAUCUUUGAACGCACCUUGCGCCCCUUGGUAUUCCGAGGGGCAUGCCUGUUUGAGUGUCAUUAAAUUCUCAACCUUACUAGCUUUUAUGAGCAAUGUAAUGGCUUGGAUGUGGGGGUCUUUUUUUUGCUGGCUUCGAAAGAAAUCAGCUCCCCUAAAAUGUAUUAGCUGGUGCCCCCGUGUGGACUAUCUACUGGUGUGAUAAUUAUCUAUGCCGUUAGAUGUCUGCUUUAAAUAGGGAUGUGCUGCUUCUAAUUGUCCACUUAGGACACUUAUUGACUAUUUGACCUCAAAUCAGGUAGGACUACCCGCUGAACUUAAGCAUAUCAAUAAGCGGAGGAAAAGAAACUAACAAGGAUUCCCCUAGUAACUGCGAGUGAAGCGGGAAAAGCUCAAAUUUAAAAGCUGACGGU